Long non-coding RNA from Liolophura sinensis, 493 nucleotides. RefSeq lists it as uncharacterized. The transcript has 3 exons. The record is from RefSeq and is a predicted model, not a curated record. NCBI's taxonomy places the organism in Eukaryota, Metazoa, Mollusca, Polyplacophora, Chitonida, Chitonidae.
AAGAAGAUAAAGCCAUACGAAUUCUUAAAUCUGUUACCAAUUCACCGUCAUAGAUUAUGUUUUUGUACGGCUUGUUAAUUAAAUUAUGCUCCAGUGGAUCACCUUUUCCAAUGCAAGUAUGUUUUUGAUUAUGCAGAUAUUACAGAAGACGACGUAGAGAAGCCCACAAGUCUGAUGAUCAUGACCAUCAGACAGAGGGUAGAAUAUUCCAACCAGAUAACAGGGAGCCACAGGAUAACAUAGCGUUUGAGGACGACAGCAAUGAUCCGGAUGACGAAUCACAGGGUGACGUCAAUCCUUACGUUAACGCUGACGUCGUCCCCUCUACGGUGCCUGUCGAGGAGUUCCCAGACUACUUCGUGAGGAGAAAUGCCGGAAAAGGAUUCAAGAAAGAAUUUGAGACAUUCCUGGUGGGCUUGCAGGCAAAACACACUGCGGCGGACAGACCCAAGAACAAAGCCAAAAGCCGUUAUCGCAGCCUUGUAGCGUGUGA